UACAAUAAUUGUUUUCUUGUACUAUGC
This 27-nucleotide small RNA is filed under the name Bombyx mori (domestic silkworm). RNAcentral's name for it is "ovarian small RNA-5914". The record is from RNAcentral. Lineage: Eukaryota; Metazoa; Arthropoda; Insecta; Lepidoptera; Bombycidae.